UACGGAGGGUGCAAGCGUUGUUCGGAUUUACUGGGCGUAAAGCGCGUGUAGGCGGCUCAUUAGGUCAGAUGUGAAAGCCCUCGGCUCAACCGAGGAAGUGCAUUUGAAACCGGUGAGCUUGAGUACGGGAGAGGGAAGUGGAAUUCCUAGUGUAGAGGUGAAAUUCGUAGAUAUUAGGAGGAACACCCGUGGCGAAGGCGGCUUCCUGGACCGAUACUGACGCUGAGACGCGAAAGCGUGGGGAGCAAACAGGAUUAGAUACCCCCGUA
RNAcentral lists this ribosomal RNA (269 nucleotides) under uncultured prokaryote. RNAcentral describes it as "partial 16S ribosomal RNA". It matches the Rfam family "Bacterial small subunit ribosomal RNA", at positions 524 to 792 of the family's 1533-position model. The record is from RNAcentral.